Molecule: small RNA, 1822 nt
Filed under: Pongo abelii (Sumatran orangutan)
Lineage: Eukaryota; Metazoa; Chordata; Mammalia; Primates; Hominidae
Description: retained intron
Source: RNAcentral
AGCAAACCAGCAAAGAAAAAAAGCAAACCCUAGCAAACCUUUCACAAAUGUUAAAGAGGCACUGCUCCAUUUUAGCAGUGCGGGUCAUUUUGAGUUUAAUGAAUCCCCAUCAAAUGGUGGUAUAGUAGAUAGCUAUGUGUGUUUGUAAGGUUUGUAGCUUGCAAGACGUGCACUAAUAAUAUUUUGUAUGAUCUUUCCUGGUUGGCAGGACCCAUGGAUGAAGGACCAGAUCUUGAUCUAGGCCCACCUGUAGAUCCAGAUGAAGACUCUGACAACAGUGCAAUUUAUGUACAAGGAUUAAAUGACAGUGUGACUCUAGAUGAUCUGGCAGACUUCUUUAAGCAGUGUGGGGUUGUUAAGAUGAACAAGAGAACUGGGCAACCCAUGAUCCACAUCUACCUGGACAAGGAAACAGGAAAGCCCAAAGGCGAUGCCACAGUGUCCUAUGAAGACCCACCUACUGCCAAGGCUGCUGUGGAAUGGUUUGAUGGGAAAGAUUUUCAAGGGAGCAAACUUAAAGUCUCCCUUGCUCGGAAGAAGCCUCCAAUGAACAGUAUGCGGGGUGGUAUGCCACCCCGUGAGGGCAGAGGGAUGCCACCACCACUCCGCGGAGGUCCAGGAGGCCCAGGAGGUCCUGGGGGACCCAUGGGUCGCAUGGGAGGCCGUGGAGGAGAUAGAGGAGGCUUCCCUCCAAGAGGACCCCGGGGUUCCCGAGGGAACCCCUCUGGAGGAGGAAACGUCCAGCACCGAGCUGGAGACUGGCAGUGUCCCAAUCCGUAUGUACUUGUCUUGGCAAAUUGAUACCCUACGAGUGAAGCCACCCUUCCCUCACCCCAUCCCUACUCUAGAGUGGAUUGCUCUGUCUAGAGGAACAGAAUGAUGACCCUGAUGGCUGGUUAGGGACACUAGUCAGCCAUUCACUGGAUGCUUCAGAGCCUUCUGAAGAUUGAUUUGACCUGUCCUGUGGGUGCAAUGCUGCCUGAGGCUGUGCCCUAAAGCCUGGGUGUACAUAGAUCCUCUUGAUAGUGAGUGUGUGUACCUGUUCACACACCACCUUUCCUUGUUUAUCUUCCUUAGUUCAAUUGGUGAUUUCUGCUGUGAUGUAAUUGUAUGCAGGGGUUGUGGAAACCAGAACUUCGCCUGGAGAACAGAGUGCAACCAGUGUGGUGAUCGUGGCAGAGGUGGCCCUGGUGGCAUGCGGGGAGGAAGAGGUGGCCUCAUGGAUCGUGGUGGUCCCGGUGGAAUGUUCAGAGGUGGCCGUGGUGGAGACAGAGGUGGCUUCCGUGGUGGCCGGGGCAUGGACCGAGGUGGCUUUGGUGGAGGAAGACGAGGUGGCCCCGGAGGGCCCCCUGGACCUUUGAUGGAACAGAUGGGAGGAAGAAGAGGAGGACGUGGAGGACCUGGAAAAAUGGAUAAAGGCGAGCACCGUCAGGAGCGCAGAGAUCGGCCCUACUAGAUGCAGAGACCCCGCAGAGCUGCAUUGACUACCAGAUUUAUUUUUUAAACCAGAAAAUGUUUUAAAUUUAUAAUUCCAUAUUUAUAAUGUUGGCCACAACAUUAUGAUUAUUCCUUGUCUGUACUUUAGUAUUUUUCACCAUUUGUGAAGAAACAUUAAAACAAGUUAAAUGGUAGUGUGCGGAGUUUUUUUUUCCUUCUUUUAAAAAUGGUUGUUUAACUAAGACUUUAACAAUGGGAACCCCUUGUGAGCAUGCUCAGUAUCAUUGUGGAGAACCAAGAGGGCCUCUUAACUGUAACAAUGUUCAUGGUUGUGAUGUUUUUUUUUUUUUUUUUAAAUAAAAUUCCAAAUGUUUAUAAACAGUCA